This 72-nucleotide transfer RNA is filed under the name Camelus dromedarius (Arabian camel). It matches the Rfam family "tRNA". Rfam says of the family: Transfer RNA (tRNA) molecules are approximately 80 nucleotides in length. Their secondary structure includes four short double-helical elements and three loops (D, anti-codon, and T loops). The record is from Rfam by way of RNAcentral. RNAcentral also lists the same sequence under 1 other name. Lineage: Eukaryota; Metazoa; Chordata; Mammalia; Artiodactyla; Camelidae.
GAGGGUAUAGCUCAGUGGUAGAGCACAUGCUUAGCAUGCAUGAGGUCCUGGGUUCAAUCCCCAGUACCUCUA